AUGCACUGAGGGGAGCCUAGGCUCCCCUCAAAGGUAUUGCGUGUGCUCUUAUUAUUAUGGCGAUCGGGCUAUUGUGAUUAUUGUUGCCUGUUUCGCAGUGGCCUUGCGGCCGGCCCCCAAUCAGGGCCAAGAGCAAACGUAUUUUUUUGAACGCUUUAACCGUUUCACACCGAGGUGACCGAACCGGGCUGCUGAUACGCAGUU
RNAcentral lists this non-coding RNA (204 nucleotides) under Pseudomonas sp. URIL14HWK12:I10. Lineage: Bacteria; Pseudomonadati; Pseudomonadota; Gammaproteobacteria; Pseudomonadales; Pseudomonadaceae. RNAcentral also lists the same sequence under 3 other names. The record is from RNAcentral.